CGAAAUGCGAUAAGUAAUGUGAAUUGCAGAAUUCCGUGAAUCAUCGAAUCUUUGAACGCACAUUGCGCCCUCUGGCAUUCCGGGGGGUAUGCCUGUCCGAGCGUCAUUACGCACCCUCAAGCCCGGCUUGUGUGAUGGGCCCCGGCGUCUCGUUCGCGAGACGGGCCCGAAAGGCAGCGGCGGCGUCGACCCGAUGAGCCCGAGCGUAUGGGGACUUCUGUCACACGUUCGCGGUGCGGACCGGCGCCUGCUUGACUUUUCUGAUUAUCCAGGUUGACCUCGGAUCAGGUAGGGAUACCCGCUGAACUUAAGC
This 313-nucleotide unclassified non-coding RNA is filed under the name plant metagenome. RNAcentral's name for it is "partial contains 5.8S ribosomal RNA, internal transcribed spacer 2, and large subunit ribosomal RNA". The stretch from base 1 to 106 matches the Rfam family "5.8S ribosomal RNA", at positions 49 to 154 of the family's 154-position model. The record is from RNAcentral.